AACUAACGCUGGCGGCGUGCCUAACACAUGCAAGUCGUACGAGAAAGCCGGCUUCGGCUGGUGAGUAAAGUGGCGCACGGGUGAGUAACGCGUGGAUAAUCUGCCCUUAAGUGUGGAAUAACGUACCGAAAGGUGCGCUAAUACCGCAUAAUGCCUGGCAACACAAGUUGUCCGGCCAAAGAAGGCCUCUGUUUACAAGCUUUCGCUUCAGGAUGAGUCCGCGUACCAUUAGCUUGUUGGUGGGGUAAUGGCCUACCAAGGCUGCGAUGGUUAGCUGGUCUGAGAGGAUGAUCAGCCACACUGGAACUGAGACACGGUCCAGACUCCUACGGGAGCAGCAGUGAGGAAUAUUGCGCAAUGGGGGCAACCCUGACGCAGCAACGCCGCGUGAGUGAGGAAGGUUUUCGGACUGUAAAGCUCUGUCGAGCGGGAAGAAGUGUACCAUGGCUAAUAUCCAUGAUAUUUGACGGUACCGCUAGAGG
This 482-nucleotide ribosomal RNA is filed under the name uncultured bacterium. RNAcentral describes it as "bacterial SSU rRNA". It matches the Rfam family "Bacterial small subunit ribosomal RNA", at positions 29 to 487 of the family's 1533-position model. The record is from RNAcentral.